RNAcentral lists this non-coding RNA (72 nucleotides) under Roseospira goensis. The record is from RNAcentral. Lineage: Bacteria; Pseudomonadati; Pseudomonadota; Alphaproteobacteria; Rhodospirillales; Rhodospirillaceae.
AACCGCCGUGUACGGAACCGUACGCACGGUGGUGUGGGAGGAGGGGAACCGAGAGGCCCCCUCCUACCCGAU